AGAACGAACGCUGGCGGCAGGCCUAAUACAUGCAAGUCGAACGCACUCUUCGGAGUGAGUGGCAGACGGGUGAGUAACGCGUGGGAACCUUCCCAAUGGUACGGAAUAACUCCGGGAAACCGGUGCUAAUACCGUAUAAGCCCCUCGGGGGAAAGAUUUAUCGCCAUUGGAUGGGCCCGCGUCGGAUUAGCUAGUUGGUAAGGUAAUGGCUUACCAAGGCUACGAUCCGUAGCUGGUCUGAGAGGAUGAUCAGCCACACUGGGACUGAGACACGGCCCAGACUCCUACGGGAGGCAGCAGUAGGGAAUCUUGGACAAUGGGCGAAAGCCUGAUCCAGCCAUGCCGCGUGAGUGAAGAAGGCCUUAGGGUUGUAAAGCUCUUUUGGCGGGGACGAUAAUGACGGUACCCGCAGAAUAAGCCCCGGCUAACUUCGUGCCAGCAGCCGC
Molecule: ribosomal RNA, 446 nt
Filed under: uncultured bacterium
Lineage: Bacteria
Description: SSU rRNA
Rfam family: Bacterial small subunit ribosomal RNA
Source: RNAcentral